UAUAAUUUUUAACUCUUCGUCUUAUUCAAAAAAUUUUUACGAUUGACAUUUUUGUUUUUAUUAGAUGAUAAAUCAUAGAUAAUACUUUACGUAUGACUAAUUUUUUUUAAUUUUCUAAAAUUUUUUAAAUAAAACGAACGGUCAAACAUUAGAUACGAAAACCGAUG
This 167-nucleotide microRNA precursor is filed under the name Oryza brachyantha (malo sina). Its description in RNAcentral is "MIR812 microRNA precursor family". It matches the Rfam family "MIR812 microRNA precursor family", at positions 27 to 193 of the family's 205-position model. Lineage: Eukaryota; Viridiplantae; Streptophyta; Magnoliopsida; Poales; Poaceae. The record is from Rfam by way of RNAcentral.